GGCCAGUCUACCUUCAACAGGGAUGGUGAGGGAGGCUUCUCUGGGGGAGUGAUGUUUAGGCUGACACCUGCAGAAUGGGCAAGAGAUAGCAGGAGAGAGGUCCGGGAAGGGCAUCAGAGAAAUAGCCCUUACACAAAAUGGAGGCAGAGUAGAUCCUCGUGAGCUACAGAAAUGGAAAGAAGCCCAACAUACCUCAGAAGGAAGAAGUGAGAAAGAAGAAAGAGAUAUACCUGGAGAGGCAGAAGAAUGCAUCGAACUCCAGAACAAACUUGAGCAUUCCUACUUGGAAGUUCCUGAAAUGCUUGGUUUCCAGAUUUAACAAUAAUAACAAUAAUAAAAACAUUCUUUCAGGAGCUUCUGUGGGACUACUUGAGCAGCUGCAAAAAUUUUUUUUCUGACAACUAAAAAUAUUCAGUAGGUAAGCAUCACUAACUAUUUUAAUGGGCUAAAUUUUUAUUUUACAAUCCUAAAGCCUUGC
Molecule: long non-coding RNA, 478 nt
Filed under: Mustela putorius furo (domestic ferret)
Lineage: Eukaryota; Metazoa; Chordata; Mammalia; Carnivora; Mustelidae
Description: lncRNA (ENSMPUG00000031023.1)
Source: RNAcentral